Vicugna pacos (alpaca) is the source of this 1549-nucleotide long non-coding RNA. RefSeq lists it as uncharacterized. NCBI's taxonomy places the organism in Eukaryota, Metazoa, Chordata, Mammalia, Artiodactyla, Camelidae. The record is from RefSeq and is a predicted model, not a curated record.
GAUGGACGCUGCCUGGAGAGAACAGCAAGUCCCGCCUUCAGCAUUUCAUGCCGGUGGCCCAGCUCAUAUCAGGUGUCUGAAGGAGGCAGGUUCUGAGGAUUUGUGUUCUGAUGACUUCUGAAGCUCCUACUCCAGGUUCAAGGGCAGCAGCUUCCAGGAGACCGCAAACACUUCACAUUUUUGGUGGCAUGACUCCUGGCUCAAAAUAUGCAUAGAAUCAGAGAUAGACCACACAGCUUUAAGGAACUGAGGCUGACUUUAUGGAGCCAAUAAAGCCCCUUGGAAAACCAGAAGUCUGUUGCCUUGCUUGCAGUAUUCCCAGCAGCUUUCCCAGGUGUGGAAUUGCUGAAUCAUCUGAUAACUCUGUUAAACUGAGGAACUGCCACACUGUUUUCAUGACCCUGACAGCCUUGAGGAGUAUACGCAAUUAGUUUACUCGUGAUUAGACUGUGGUUAUUGGCUUUGAGAAAGGAUACCACAGAAAAUGAGUAACUAAGUCUGCCCUGACCUCAGCAGUAGGAGGGGGAAGGUUCACCUCAUGGAAGGAAGUGCAGAGCUCUUUAUGCAGAUGACAGAACCUGUGCUGUUGGGAGGCUGAGAGGAGGCAGCAAAUGAUAUCAGCUCCUCAUGCCAGUGGCUCAGCUCAUAUCAGGUGUCUGAAGGAGACAGGUUCUGAGGAUCUGUGUCCUGAUGGCUCCUGAAGCUCCUACUCCAGGUUCAAGGGCAGUGGCUUCCAGGAGACCCCAACACUUCACAUCUUUGGUGGCAUGACUCCGGACUUAAGUUAAUUUCUAGGACAGAGAUCAGAGUUCAGCGGUUGCUAAUUGAUAGACCCUGCCUUCCUACAUAUACAGUUUGAUAUGGGUGAAGCAAUUUCUUAUUGAGCCCCAGGAAGAAGAAAUAGUACAGAAGAGAAAAGAAUAGGAACGGGUCAGCUAGACAGAAGAUGAGAGUCAUGAAACUUGUGUCCCAGUUGCUGGAUCCUUUGACCACAGGGCCUUAGCCUGAAGAUGUAAGGCGUUUUGCUUUCAACUAAAGGUGUGGCGGUAGAGAAGUAUGAGGAGGUAUUUCGCAUCUGGAAGACUUGCUGGCGCCUGGCGGUUGCCGUAGAAACCUGACGUCAAUACGGCGACCGUGACGACAUUUUAAAGGAGACGGACGCUGCCUGGGAGACAGCAGUUGGCUGAAUCUUACUGUGACAUGGCUGGAUGAUGAAUGAUCUGAGGACCCCUGCACUGGUGACUGGGAACAUGCUCCAGUUCUUCCUGUGAGUGAAUUGAAGACUAACUAGGAGAGCUUCUUAUAAUCCUUUAAAGAAGAACGUUUUUGUGGUAGGUGGAAUUCUAAGAUGGCCCCUAAGAUUCCCGCCCUUUGGUGUGCACACCCUGUACAGUAACUUCCCCUUGAUUGUGGGCGGGCUCUGUGAAUAUGAUGGCAAAGGGAUUUUGCAGAUUUUGCUUGUGAGUUAAUCAAAAUAAAAUUAUCCUGAGUAGGCCUGACCUAAUCAGGUUAGCCGUUAAAGGAGGUAAGAAGCAACUGUUGACCUUGA